Molecule: ribosomal RNA, 119 nt
Filed under: Schistosoma curassoni
Lineage: Eukaryota; Metazoa; Platyhelminthes; Trematoda; Strigeidida; Schistosomatidae
Source: RNAcentral
UUCGGCGACCAUACUUUGUUCAAAAAAGCGGUUCUUGUUCGACCGCAUUAGUUAAGCAAUGUUGGACUCCGUCAGUAUUUGUAUGGGCGACCGGCUGGGAACGCCGUGUGUCGCCGACU